GUCUUUGUAGUAUAAUAAAUACCCCGGUCUUGUAAACCGAAAAAGGAGAAACCUACUCCUCCCUAAGACU
This is a non-coding RNA of Lipotes vexillifer (Yangtze River dolphin), 70 nucleotides long. NCBI's taxonomy places the organism in Eukaryota, Metazoa, Chordata, Mammalia, Artiodactyla, Lipotidae. The record is from the annotation of a RefSeq genome assembly.